RNAcentral lists this ribosomal RNA (253 nucleotides) under uncultured bacterium. Its description in RNAcentral is "partial 16S ribosomal RNA". It matches the Rfam family "Bacterial small subunit ribosomal RNA", at positions 524 to 776 of the family's 1533-position model. The record is from RNAcentral.
UACGUAGGGUGCAAGCGUUGUCCGGAAUUAUUGGGCGUAAAGAGCUCGUAGGCGGUUCGUCGCGUCGGCUGUGAAAACCCGAGGCUCAACCUCGGGCCUGCAGUCGAUACGGGCGGACUGGAGUUCGGCAGGGGAGACUGGAAUUCCUGGUGUAGCGGUGAAAUGCGCAGAUAUCAGGAGGAACACCGGUGGCGAAGGCGGGUCUCUGGGCAAUAACUGACGCUGAGGAGCGAAAGCGUGGGGAGCGAACAGG